GGGACACGUGGUAUCCUGUCUGAAUAUGGGGGGACCAUCCUCCAAGGCUAAAUACUCCUGACUGACCGAUAGUGAACCAGUACCGUGAGGGAAAGGCGAAAAGAACCCCGGCGAGGGGAGUGAAAAAGAACCUGAAACCGUGUACGUACAAGCAGUGGGAGCACCUUCGGGUGUGACUGCGUACCUUUUGUAUAAUGGGUCAGCGACUUAUAUUCUGUAGCAAGGUUAACCGUAUAGGGGAGCCGCAGGGAAACCGAGUCUUAACUGGGCGUUAAGUUGCAGGGUAUAGACCCGAAACCCGGUGAUCUAGCCAUGGGCAGGUUGAAGGUUGGGUAACACUAACUGGAGGACCGAACCGACUAAUGUUGAAAAAUUAGCGGAUGACUUGUGGCUGGGGGUGAAAGGCCAAUCAAACCGGGAGAUAGCUGGUUCUCCCCGAAAGCUAUUUAGGUAGCGCCUCGUGAACUCAUCUUCGGGGGUAGAGCACUGUUUCGGCUAGGGGGUCAUCCCGACUUACCAACCCGAUGCAAACUACGAAUACCGAAGAAUGUUAUCACGGGAGACACACGGCGGGUGCUAACGUCCGUCGUGAAGAGGGAAACAACCCAGACCGCCAGCUAAGGUCCCAAAGUCAUGGUUAAGUGGGAAACGAUGUGGGAAGGCACAGACAGCCAGGAUGUUGGCUUAGAAGCAGCCAUCAUUUAAAGAAAGCGUAAUAGCUCACUGGUCGAGUCGGCCUGCGCGGAAGAUGUAACGGGGCUAAACCAUGCACCGAAGCUGCGGCAGCGACACUAUGUGUUGUUGGGUAGGGGAGCGUUCUGUAAGCCUGCGAAGGUGACCUGUGAGGGUUGCUGGAGGUAUCAGAAGUGCGAAUGCUGACAUAAGUAACGAUAAAGCGGGUGAAAAGCCCGCUCGCCGGAAGACCAAGGGUUCCUGUCCAACGUUAAUCGGGGCAGGGUGAGUCGACCCCUAAGGCGAGGCCGAAAGGCGUAGUCGAUGGGAAACAGGUUAAUAUUCCUGUACUUGGUGUUACUGCGAAGGGGGGACGGAGAAGGCUAUGUUAGCCGGGCGACGGUUGUCCCGGUUUAAGCAUGUAGGCUGGUUAUCCAGGCAAAUCCGGAUAAUCAA
This 1128-nucleotide ribosomal RNA is filed under the name Klebsiella pneumoniae. Its description in RNAcentral is "partial 23S ribosomal RNA". It matches the Rfam family "Bacterial large subunit ribosomal RNA", at positions 419 to 1553 of the family's 2925-position model. Lineage: Bacteria; Pseudomonadati; Pseudomonadota; Gammaproteobacteria; Enterobacterales; Enterobacteriaceae. The record is from RNAcentral.